AACGUAGGAGACAAACGUUAUCCGGAGUUACUGGGCGUAAAGGGCGUGUAGGUGGUUUCGUAAGUCUGGCGUGAAAUAUCUCGGCUUAACCGAGGCAGGUCGUCGGAUACUGCGGGACUAGAGGACGGUAGAGGCGUGUGGAAUUCCGGGUGUAGUGGUGAAAUGCGUAGAGAUCCGGAGGAACACCAGUGGCGAAGGCGGUUCUCUGGGCAUGAUCUGACGCUGAGGAGCGAAAGUGUGGGGAGCGAACAGG
Molecule: ribosomal RNA, 253 nt
Filed under: uncultured bacterium
Lineage: Bacteria
Description: partial 16S ribosomal RNA
Rfam family: Bacterial small subunit ribosomal RNA
Source: RNAcentral